Molecule: RNA transcript, 2201 nt
Organism: Andrographis paniculata
Lineage: Eukaryota; Viridiplantae; Streptophyta; Magnoliopsida; Lamiales; Acanthaceae
Gene name: protein LNK1-like
Exons: 8
Source: RefSeq, a predicted model, not a curated record
CUCUCGCGCAUUUCCUCUCUCCACGUGGCUAUUUCUCUCUCUCUAUCUCAGAGAAACUUAACUGCAUAAUCUCGAAAGCCUCUGUUUCAUUCUCUACAUAUACAACUUUAGCUUAAAUCAUCUGAUGAUGACCCAUAGUAAUUCCAUCCUUAUUGACGACAGAAGUACCUGUGCGGUUUGAUUUUCUGGAUAAUCAAACAGAAGAUAACUGCACCAUCGUUUGAGCCUGCAAACUUGACAGAAUGUCCAAAUUGUGCGUAUAUGAGUUUGAACACAUAGCUUGCGACAGAUUCUUCCUGAGUCAUGAUGAUCAUAUGGUGCCCACUCCUGGUUCACCAAAGCUUGAUGACUGUUUCGUUCUGAAGGAAAACCUCAAUGCAAAUAUCUGUGGAUUAACAAGUAGUUGUAGCAAUACCAGCAAUAGAUCGUCUACCCGAUGUCGUGAUCAAGGAAGGGAACAGAAGGCUUUUUCAAUACCUAGGAGAAGAAAAGCAAUAACGGAAAAUGAUUCAUGGCCAGUAAACUCAUUGUUUUCUUCUGCCUGUGAUAGCAUCCCAGCCAAAAACUCAUCAAGUUUAGCUUUGGACAGUACCGAGUCAUGGAAUACCAAUAACACAUGCUCAGAUGGUAGGGGCUUCUGUGAAUAUGACACCUCUUUCUGUGACACAACUACCAUGGUUGAAAGCUCUUUCAGUUAUUUACCCAGCGAUAUCGAUAUAGAUCAGAACAGCAGAGAGCUUGAUUUCCUCAAAGAUGGUCCGAGCAGCGGUUCGAGGGAUUUCCUAGGUUGUGAUAGUUGGUCUGCAAUGAAGAACUUUGAAGAUAUUGAGACAAUGUUAAGUGAAAAAGAUGAAUUCAGUUGGUUACCAUCAGCAGACGACUCAGGAGCCUCUGGUGAUUUGCUUAAGUCCAGUGUUACUUUCACAUGUCCUGAGACGUAUACGACAGAAGAAAGCCACGACUCCUUAAGAAGCUCUUCAAUUAAUGAUACUUUCAUGAUAACACCAUCCAUCAUAUCUGAGGAAUUCCCUUUCCCAAUUCAAUCUGCCGCGGCUGAUAAAGAGGAUCGAUUUGUCCCUCUUGAACAGCUCAACAAGAAGAAGUCAUACUUUGGAAACAGUAGUUCUACUAACAUCAAUGAGCUACCAAAUGAAGUGCCAUUGCUUCCUGCUAGAAGCAUUUAUCAUCAUCCUUUCUCAUCUCCUCAAAGCUCUGAGUGUCCAAAUAAUGUUCGACUAGUACCACUACCCCAAGGUAAUUCUUUCAGCUCAUCCAAAUAUCCACCAAGCUCUCAUGACCCUCCUGGCGCGCGAGCUAUAGCUGUUCCUGAACAAGGCCAGGAGCGACAAGGCUGUGAAGGUAGUCGAUGUUCUGUCACCAGAAGCCUAAAAACUGGAAGUGAGAAAAUAUCCAGUCCCGACAGAAUCAGUAAAUAUUUUGAACAUGGUAAACGCAGAGGAGUUGCUCGAGCAGGUUUAUGUACCUCAAAUGUAAAAGAAAGCUCGACAGCUAGUUCAGGUACGAACAAUGUUUCGCAAGAAGCAGCCAGUUUUCUCCAGCUUCAGCUAGUUAUGGAACAGUUGGAUUUCAGAACGAAGUUGGGAAUAAGGGACAGCUUAUACCGUCUGGCUGAUAGCGCCGAUCGAAGAAAUACACGUACCAAUGAAGGAAAGCCAAAUAGCAAUGAAGGAACAAAAGAGCGUCGUGGUUGCAUGGAAGCAGAUAGAAAUAGCAUGGAUCGAUCAAUGGCGGACUUGCUGUUUCACAGAGCUUCCUACAACUCAUUCCCAGCAAACUUGUUUCAAGUGCCAUAGAAAUCGAUGGAUGGAUGGAUGGAUGUCCCACAACUACUUAGCAUCUACCUGCCUACAUUGCUUGUGAAUUUAGAUGGUGAACUGAAGAAGCUGUUUUUUUAUGGUGCUUCAUAGCCUCUACUGGUCCAAGAGGAGGAUGAGAACAAUGUAUACCUCGACGAUAAAUCAAUUCCAAUCCGAUAAAGCAUCCGAUGACAAUAUAUUAAUGUUAAUGUGGUCUAUGUGAAGUAAUGUGUUUAUGUGAAAAGUCUCCAUUAUUCUACUACUAAAUAUUAAUGUUAAUGUGGUCUAAGUAAAGUAGUGGGUCUAUAUGAAAAGUUUCUAAAAAGUAUUGCAUUCGAAUUUGACACUAAUGGUCGGCGUAUGUUCUUGCUGAGAAACUAGUAU